RNAcentral lists this ribosomal RNA (243 nucleotides) under uncultured bacterium. RNAcentral's name for it is "partial 16S ribosomal RNA". It matches the Rfam family "Bacterial small subunit ribosomal RNA", at positions 111 to 354 of the family's 1533-position model. The record is from RNAcentral.
UAACGCGUGAGGAACCUGCCUUUCAGAGGGGGACAACAGUUGGAAACGACUGCUAAUACCGCAUAACAUAUGUUUGUCGCAUGGCAGAUAUAUCAAAGAUUUAUCGCUGAGAGAUGGCCUCGCGUCUGAUUAGCUAGUUGGUAGGGUAACGGCCUACCAAGGCGACGAUCAGUAGCCGGACUGAGAGGUUGGCCGGCCACAUUGGGACUGAGAUACGGCCCAGACUCCUACGGGAGGCAGCAG